Long non-coding RNA from Amaranthus tricolor (Joseph's coat), 477 nucleotides. RefSeq lists it as uncharacterized. Lineage: Eukaryota; Viridiplantae; Streptophyta; Magnoliopsida; Caryophyllales; Amaranthaceae. The record is from RefSeq and is a predicted model, not a curated record. The transcript is spliced from 3 exons.
UCUCAUCCUCUUCCAAAGUAUAAAAUCAAUCUGAAAAGUUUUAGUUUACUUUUCCAUUCUAAGUUCAUAAACCCCCAUGAUUUAGGUAGUAUGUGUUUAUAUUAGAAACCCUCAAUUUCAAUUUAGGGUUCUUAAAAAUUCAAUUGAGAUCUCUACAAAACUAGUAUGAAGUAUGGGAGUUAAUUGAAGUGUUUUGAUGAUUGUAACUAUUGUAGAAGAAGGAGAACACACCUAGUACUAUCACCAUCUCCAUCUCUUUUGGGUUAGAAGCUUUUUAUGGUUAAUUAAAGUAGCAUCCAGAGGAGACUAGUAUGAAGUUCAUCAAACCAUUGAAGAACUUAUUAGCUAAAGAGGAUCUUGGUUUUGAUUUUCUGAAAUUUUGUGUGGAAUUAAUCUUGCUCAAAGAUCCAUUUUCAGGUUAGCUCUACGGUGGAGAGGAUGCCUACAUGUAUUAUGUGUUACGGGCGAGGCGAGGAC